RNAcentral lists this ribosomal RNA (496 nucleotides) under uncultured bacterium. RNAcentral's name for it is "partial 16S ribosomal RNA". It matches the Rfam family "Bacterial small subunit ribosomal RNA", at positions 28 to 506 of the family's 1533-position model. The record is from RNAcentral.
GAUGAACGCUGGCGGCGUGCCUAAUACAUGCAAGUCGAGCGAACAGACGAGGAGCUUGCUCCUCUGACGUUAGCGGCGGACGGGUGAGUAACACGUGGAUAACCUACCUAUAAGACUGGGAUAACUUCGGGAAACCGGAGCUAAUACCGGAUAAUAUAUUGAACCGCAUGGUUCAAUAGUGAAAGACGGUUUUGCUGUCACUUAUAGAUGGAUCCGCGCCGCAUUAGCUAGUUGGUAAGGUAACGGCUUACCAAGGCAACGAUGCGUAGCCGACCUGAGAGGGGGAUCGGCCACACGGGAACUGAGACACGGUCCAGACCCCUACGGGGGGCAGCAGGAGGGAAUCUUCCGCAAGGGGGGAAAGCCUGACGGAGCAACGCCGGGGGGGUGAUGAAGGUCUUCGGAUCGUAAAACUCUUUUAUUAGGGAAGAAAAAAUGUGUAAGUAACUAUGCACGUCUUGACGGUACCAAAUCAGAAAGCCAGGGCUAACUACGG